Molecule: ribosomal RNA, 391 nt
Filed under: uncultured bacterium
Lineage: Bacteria
Description: bacterial SSU rRNA
Rfam family: Bacterial small subunit ribosomal RNA
Source: RNAcentral
GAGUUUGACUUGGCUCAGAUUGAACGCUGGCGGCAGGCCUAACACAUGCAAGUCGAGCGGUAGAGAGAAGCUUGCUUCUCUUGAGAGCGGCGGACGGGUGAGUAAUGCCUAGGAAUCUGCCUGGUAGUGGGGGAUAACGCUCGGAAACGGACGCUAAUACCGCAUACGUCCUACGGGAGAAAGCAGGGGACCUUCGGGCCUUGCGCUAUCAGAUGAGCCUAGGUCGGAUUAGCUAGUUGGUGAGGUAAUGGCUCACCAAGGCGACGAUCCGUAACUGGUCUGAGAGGAUGAUCAGUCACACUGGAACUGAGACACGGUCCAGACUCCUACGGGAGGCAGCAGUGGGGAAUAUUGGACAAUGGGCGAAAGCCUGAUCCAGCCAUGCCGCGUG